Long non-coding RNA from Pogoniulus pusillus (Red-fronted tinkerbird), 3575 nucleotides. RefSeq lists it as uncharacterized. The record is from RefSeq and is a predicted model, not a curated record. NCBI's taxonomy places the organism in Eukaryota, Metazoa, Chordata, Aves, Piciformes, Lybiidae. The transcript is spliced from 10 exons.
AGAAGAGCGGCGCUGUGCGUGCUAAGGGCCGCGCUAGAGCGCCUCCUGCCGGGAGCCACUGGGUUGGUCGACCGCGUCGGCCAGGCGUCCCGCCGGGGAAGCUAAGCAGGGGCCGCCUUGCAUCCAGAGCUGGAUGGGCACUAAGAGUUCCCCUGGCAAGCUCCCCGGGUGUGUUUUUUUUCCCUUCCCGCCCCGCACCUUCGCACACACUGACUCAGUGAGAGCUUUUUUAUUCUCUUUGCCUGCUGCUUUUCUUUGUUCUUUUCCCGGACUCGUCGCCCGCGAGCCUCCAGCAGGACUGCUCCGGCUCCGGAGUGCACCUGCGCCAGCCCCUCGGCACCUGCUCCGCCUGAAGAGUGCCCAGGGCUGCCUUAGCAGAACUCGCAGUUACACCACUAACACAAAAGUCUCGCUCGCUUUCAUAGGUCGUUUCUGGAGCAGAACAAACGGAAGUAUUUAGUGAUGCAGCUGUCCCCCGUCAAGAGAUACAUCCAUAGCUAUCCUUGUCGUUUCUGGAGCAGAACAAACGGAAGUAUUUAGUGAUGCAGCUGUCCCCCGUCAAGAGAUACAUCCAUAGCUAUCCUUGUCGUUUCUGGAGCAGAACAAACGGAAGUAUUUAGUGAUGCAGCUGUCCCCCGUCAAGAGAUACAUCCAUAGCUAUCCUUGUCGUUUCUGGAGCAGAACAAACGGAAGUAUUUAGUGAUGCAGCUGUCCCCCGUCAAGAGAUACAUCCAUAGCUAUCCUUGUCGUUUCUGGAGCAGAACAAACGGAAGUAUUUAGUGAUGCAGCUGUCCCCCGUCAAGAGAUACAUCCAUAGCUAUCCUUGUCGUUUCUGGAGCAGAACAAACGGAAGUAUUUAGUGAUGCAGCUGUCCCCCGUCAAGAGAUACAUCCAUAGCUAUCCUUGUACGUAUUCUGGGUGUAAGUUGAACAGAGCUCUUGGGGUCUGGGUGGGGAUGGGGCUUGCUGUGCCUGUGUUUCUUUGCUUUACAGGGCUGCCCACUUUGACAUGUAGGAAAGACAGGGCGAGGCUGCGGGGUUGUUUUCUGUGGGGGAGUGUCGGGUGCUGGGGAAAGGAGAGUCUGUUAGGGCCGGCGAUCUGGGGAUGAGACCAGUAGGUUGCAGGUGGGGAACGGCGCUGUGUGUGCUAAGGGCCGCACUAUAGCGCCUCCCCUCGGUAGCCAUUGGCCAAGCGUCCCUCCAGGGAAGCUCAUCAGCGGCCGCCGCGAGUUCGAGUCCCGCAUAUGCACAAAGAGAUCCCCUGGCAAAAGCCUCCCCGAUGUUGUUUCCCUGUCGCCCCGCACCUUCAGCCACACCGACUGAGCUCUUUUUUGUUUGUUUUUUUCUUUCUUUUUUUUUUUUUUGGUUGCUGUUGUUAGCUGGCUGCUUGGUGUUUUGUUAUUUUUUGUUCUUUUUCGUGCGUCGUCGCCCGGAAGCUCCAUGCAGUGUUUCUUGGGGUGCUGUGUGCAGCCGGGACAGUCGGUGGAGCUGGGUCAGCUGAACCGAGAGCUCUGUGAUCGGCUCGCUAGGGCUGCUGUGCUGGUCCGUGCGGGCGGCGGGCUGUUGGGAGGCGGGAGCGAGUGUGCGCAAAGAGUUCCCCUGUCCUGCUCCCCGAUGUUUUUCCUUCCGACCCCGGAGCUUCGGCCGCACUGUCAGAGCUCCGUUUUAUUUUCUUUGGCUGCUUGGGUCGUUUCUGGAGCAGAACAAACGGAAGUAUUUAGUGAUGCAGCUGUCCCCCGUCAAGAGAUACAUCCAUAGCUAUCCUUGUCGUUUCUGGAGCAGAACAAACGGAAGUAUUUAGUGAUGCAGCUGUCCCCCGUCAAGAGAUACAUCCAUAGCUAUCCUUGUACGUAUUCUGGGUGUAAGUUGAACAGAGCUCUGGGGGUCUGGGUGGGGAUGGGGCUUGCUGUGCCUGUGUUUCUUUGCUUUACAGGGCUGCCCACUUUGACAUGUAGGAAAGACAGGGCGAGGCUGCGGGGUUGUUUUCUGUGGGGGAGUGUCGGGUGCUGGGGAAAGGAGAGUCUGUUAGGGCCGGCGAUCUGGGGAUGAGACCAGUAGGUUGCAGGUGGGGAACGGCGCUGUGUGUGCUAAGGGCCGCACUAUAGCGCCUCCCCUCGGUAGCCAUUGGCCAAGCGUCCCUCCAGGGAAGCUCAUCAGCGGCCGCCGCGAGUUCGAGUCCCGCAUAUGCACAAAGAGAUCCCCUGGCAAAAGCCUCCCCGAUGUUGUUUCCCUGUCGCCCCGCACCUUCAGCCACACCGACUGAGCUCUUUUUUGUUUGUUUUUUUCUUUCUUUUUUUUUUUUUUGGUUGCUGUUGUUAGCUGGCUGCUUGGUGUUUUGUUAUUUUUUGUUCUUUUUCGUGCGUCGUCGCCCGGAAGCUCCAUGCAGUGUUUCUUGGGGUGCUGUGUGCAGCCGGGACAGUCGGUGGAGCUGGGUCAGCUGAACCGAGAGCUCUGUGAUCGGCUCGCUAGGGCUGCUGUGCUGGUCCGUGCGGGCGGCGGGCUGUUGGGAGGCGGGAGCGAGUGUGCGCAAAGAGUUCCCCUGUCCUGCUCCCCGAUGUUUUUCCUUCCGACCCCGGAGCUUCGGCCGCACUGUCAGAGCUCCGUUUUAUUUUCUUUGGCUGCUUGGGUCGUUUCUGGAGCAGAACAAACGGAAGUAUUUAGUGAUGCAGCUGUCCCCCGUCAAGAGAUACAUCCAUAGCUAUCCUUGUCGUUUCUGGAGCAGAACAAACGGAAGUAUUUAGUGAUGCAGCUGUCCCCCGUCAAGAGAUACAUCCAUAGCUAUCCUUGUACGUAUUCUGGGUGUAAGUUGAACAGAGCUCUUGGGGUCUGGGUGGGGAUGGGGCUUGCUGUGCCUGUGUUUCUUUGCUUUACAGGGCUGCCCACUUUGACCUGUAGGAAAGACAGGGUUUUCCCUUUCAGGAGAGGUGCCUUGCCAGUGAUGUUGUUGACGUUGUCAGUUGAAUUUGUACCUGCCUUGUAAUGAUAUAUGCUCCUCUGUGCUGAAUAAAGGCUUUCUUUUUGCUCCCUACUCUGUUCUGUUAUGCAAGUGCCCAAGUGUAUAAUGUGUCCCUGGCCUGGGAGAAGAAUAGUUCUGCUCCGCUUCCUGUCCGGCUUCAGCUUUUCCAUGUGUGUUGCACUUAUCUACUGCCCGUGUCUACAUGAGACAUAAGCCAAAAGGUUGCUGUUCUUCGGUGUGCAGGCAGAUUCUAAGCUGGAUCGUUUCAGUGUUUCUUCAGAGUCCGUCUCUAGAAGUUGUGUGGUAGAUUGCUCUGGGGUUCUGAAAGCUCUUCAGAGGGGAUGCUUCCUUUGCUCAGCAGCGUUUGAUUCUGCUGGCCUUGAGAGGUUCGUCUCUCUUGGACUUUUUUGCUUGGUAGAUGAUUUUUCUUAGAGUAAAGGCAUUGUAAUGGUACUUGGUGAGUAAGGACAGACGGACCAGACCUGGUUUAUGCUCGGGAGGGAAAUGAACAACCAAUCAGCCAAAGAAAUGUCAGUGUUAGAAGUGUGUGUCGUGUCUGUGGCAACUCUGCUUUCACUGAGUGCUGCCGUUUGUACAUAAUUAAAGUGUAACUUUCCUGA